CAGUGUUACCACUCUUAGAAUUUGUCUAGAAGGUUUUCCAGUUUUUACUUGAAAGUUCCCCC
This 62-nucleotide small nuclear RNA is filed under the name Tupaia belangeri chinensis (Chinese tree shrew). Its description in RNAcentral is "Tupaia chinensis (Chinese tree shrew) U7 small nuclear RNA". It matches the Rfam family "U7 small nuclear RNA". Rfam says of the family: Animal histone pre-mRNAs are spliced by a different mechanism than nuclear pre-mRNAs and self-splicing introns. This processing involves the U7 snRNP, which contains only one RNA species: U7. The record is from Rfam by way of RNAcentral. Lineage: Eukaryota; Metazoa; Chordata; Mammalia; Scandentia; Tupaiidae.